AACGAACGCUGGCGGCAUGCCUAACACAUGCAAGUCGAACGAGACCUUUGGGUCUAGUGGCGCACGGGUGCGUAACGCGUGGGAAUCUGCCCUUGGGUUCGGAAUAACAGUGCGAAAUUGCUGCUAAUACCGGAUGAUGUCUUCGGACCAAAGAUUUAUCGCCCAUGGAUGAGCCCGCGUAGGAUUAGCUAGUUGGUAGGGUAAUGGCCUACCAAGGCGACGAUCCUUAGCUGGUCUGAGAGGAUGAUCAGCCACACUGGGACUGAGACACGGCCCAGACUCCUACGGGAGGCAGCAGUGGGGAAUAUUGGACAAUGGGCGCAAGCCUGAUCCAGCAAUGCCGCGUGAGUGAUGAAGGCCUUAGGGUUGUAAAGCUCUUUUACCAGGGAUGAUAAUGACAGUACCUGGAGAAUAAGCUCCGGCUAACUCCGUG
This 433-nucleotide ribosomal RNA is filed under the name uncultured bacterium. Its description in RNAcentral is "partial 16S ribosomal RNA". It matches the Rfam family "Bacterial small subunit ribosomal RNA", at positions 29 to 507 of the family's 1533-position model. The record is from RNAcentral.